This 190-nucleotide ribosomal RNA is filed under the name uncultured rumen bacterium. RNAcentral's name for it is "partial 16S ribosomal RNA". It matches the Rfam family "Bacterial small subunit ribosomal RNA", at positions 338 to 524 of the family's 1533-position model. The record is from RNAcentral.
CCUACGGGAGGCAGCAGUGGGGGAUAUUGCGCAAUGGGGGCAACCCUGACGCAGCAACGCCGCGUGAAGGAAUGAGGCCCUACGGGUCGUGAACCUCUUUUGCCCGGGGACAAGGGCGCGGUCGGGAACCGCGCUUGAGGGUACCGGGAGAAUAAGCGUCGGCUAACUCCGUGCCAGCAGCCGCGGUAAU